CUGGCGGCGUGCCUAACACAUGCAAGUCGAGCGGGGACAUUGCGACGGAUUUGAAGACUUCGGUUGAAUUUGAAGAUGUAAUGUUCUAGCGGCGGACGGGUGAGUAACGCGUGAGCAACCUGUCCCUUACAGGGGGAUAACACAGCGAAAGUUGUACUAAUACCGCAUAAGACCACAGGGUGACAUCACUUAGGGGUCAAAGGAGUAAUCCGGUAAGGGGUGGGCUCGCGUCCGAUUAGAUAGUUGGUGAGGUAACGGCCCACCAAGUCGACGAUCGGUAGCCGACCUGAGAGGGUGAUCGGCCACAUUGGGACUGAGACACGGCCCAAACUCCUACGGGAGGCAGCAGUGGGGAAUAUUGGGCAAAUGGGGGAAACCCUGACCCAGCAACGCCGCGUGAGGGAAGAAGGUUUUCGGAUCGUAAACCUCUGUCCUUGGUGAAGAGAAAGAGACGGUAGCCAAGGAGGAAGCCCCGGCUAACUACGUGCCAGCCGCCGC
RNAcentral lists this ribosomal RNA (498 nucleotides) under uncultured bacterium. Its description in RNAcentral is "bacterial SSU rRNA". It matches the Rfam family "Bacterial small subunit ribosomal RNA", at positions 36 to 518 of the family's 1533-position model. The record is from RNAcentral.